GGGAUGGCCGCCAUCGCUGAUAGGAGCGGCAAGUGGCCGCUGCUUCUCGGCUGCGCUCCGUCUCCUCCACCAUUCUCUGCUGGUCCCUCUCCUCCCCAUCAGCAAGCACGCAUUGGGUGUACACAAGGUGUUUGUGGAAAUGUCUGAGUGGAAUGAUUGCUUCGGAAGAUGACGAUGUGUGUUCUAAAGGAAGACUAUUGAAGUAGAAGAAUAGACGUAUAUCUUGCUGUUUGAGUAGGAAUUUGAUGGGGUCAAAAUCAUGCGCCUCCCACUUUUGUAUGUCAUGAGUCCAAUUGGACACUUUUAAGAAAUUCAUUUGUCUCAUCUGAUACACAAACAGUUGUACAUGGACAUCUUCAUUGGCAGCUGAUUUAUCUCCUGGCCAUCUUCUUCGGUAGCAGCCCGCUCAUCUCCACCGCUGCAGUGUCUCUCUGGUUGGAUGGAAGAUUUUUGGACAAGCAGAUAUAAAUUUGCAGGAAACAUCAGAUAAGAUGUCGUGGUAGUGGUACUCGUCAUACAGUUAGUGUUCUUAUGCAAAAUAAGCUUAUUGAUGGUCGAAAACCUAGAGCCAGGGUUGAGAUCACUGGGAUAUACAGGGCCAUGAGUAUCAGAACUGAACCAAGCUAGAGGUAGUGAAGUUAAUACUCAAGGUAGAGGCGUUAAAUCAUGCUACGAUAUUGCCAACAAUCUCCUUCAAACAGACAUACAAAUCUAGGCUUGAUAUUGAGGACUCUAUGGAUACUGCCAGCGCCAGAAAGUCUUAUGAAGGCCACUUUGUCAGAGUUAAGGUCUGUCUCAAUCUCCUCCUACCUCUUGGAUGAGACUUUGUGGAAAUAUUUUAGUAUUAUAUUCUUUUGUGAUUGCAGAUUGAGAAGUUAAAAUAAUAAUUUAUAAUGUUGCCUGACAUAUAUGAUAGUUUGACAAUAACAUUGGCUCUGAACAUCUUGGAAUUGUGUGUGUUAAUAUGGCCCUCCUCUGCCAUGUAUUUUCAAGCAAUAUAUUUAGCUUUCCCCUAAGAGGAUCAUCUCAUAAGCUAAUAGCUUAACAAUAGCGUAUAGAUUUUUGGUGGCAAUGCUUUGAGGCUUCCUUCUGGAUGCUAACUUCAGAGGUGACAUCGAUUAAAUCUCAGCUUCUCCAGUACAGCAUAAACUAUCUCCUCGUGGUAUUUACACAAGCGGAAGAGGCAGUUCAACCGUUGGCCUCACUGAUUAUGUUGCUGCAUCUGGUUGCCGGCGAGGUGUGAGCGGCGGCCGCUGCAUUUUCGACAGAUUGGUCUUGAGGGAAUGAGUAGAAAAAAAAUCAUUUGGUGAGUCAUUGGAUUGCCUCGGUUUAUUUGAGAAGGCCGAAAAUAACUCAAUUUCCUUUACUUUUU
Molecule: long non-coding RNA, 1372 nt
Organism: Lolium rigidum
Lineage: Eukaryota; Viridiplantae; Streptophyta; Magnoliopsida; Poales; Poaceae
Exons: 6
Source: RefSeq, a predicted model, not a curated record